RNAcentral lists this long non-coding RNA (347 nucleotides) under Cyclopterus lumpus (lumpfish). RNAcentral's name for it is "lncRNA (ENSCLMG00005002240.1)". Lineage: Eukaryota; Metazoa; Chordata; Actinopteri; Perciformes; Cyclopteridae. The record is from RNAcentral.
GGUCAGCCCACCAUCACGCGGCAGCUCCCGUCCUACCCCGGAACGCCUGCCUUACAUGCCCCACUCACCCUUCCACCUCUUCUCCUACGACCUCGAUGAGGAGCCGUCGCCCCCGGCUGCGCCCAAACCCAGCGAGGAAUCACCCAAAACGCCGUCUCCCAGGAAUGGAGGUCUCACGUCCUACUCCUCCCCAAGUACGCCCACCAGCUCCAGGCCUGCUUUGGGAGGACUUCUGUCCUCCUCCUACCGACAGCACCAGGAAUCUCUGGCGGCCGAGCGAGGGCGCCGCCGCUUGGAGAGAGAAGAGAGAUUGCAGCGGAUAGAGAGAGAGGAGAGGAACAAGCACA